RNA transcript from Pipra filicauda (Wire-tailed manakin), 4029 nucleotides. It is a transcript of the gene named eukaryotic translation initiation factor 1B, with no coding region annotated. The transcript is spliced from 5 exons. The record is from RefSeq and is a predicted model, not a curated record. Lineage: Eukaryota; Metazoa; Chordata; Aves; Passeriformes; Pipridae.
GGCGGGGGGUCCCUCCCUCCCCGUUUUAUUCCCGUUUGCGCUUCCUUCUCCUCUUACUCCUUCCUUUUGUUCUUGCUCUGUCUCUCUCAGGUUCGCCCCCCGCGUCCCUCUGCUGUUGUUACCCCACCCCUCGCUCCCUCCCGUGCCCCGCCCCCUCCUGGCACUGCGGAGCCGCAGACGUGACCCGAGCGGACUCGCUUCCCCGCAGCUCCAGCCUCUCGCCGUAGAGUCGCAUGUCCUCGAUCCAGAACCUCCAAUCCUUCGACCCCUUUGCUGAUGCAACAAAGGGUGACGACUUACUCCCGGCGGGGACUGAGGAUUACAUUCAUAUAAGGAUCCAGCAACGAAACGGAAGAAAGACACUAACAACUGUUCAGGGAAUUGCAGAUGAUUAUGACAAGAAGAAACUUGUGAAAGCUUUCAAAAAGAAAUUUGCUUGUAAUGGUACUGUGAUUGAACAUCCUGAAUACGGUGAAGUUAUCCAGCUGCAAGGUGACCAGAGGAAGAACAUUUGCCAGUUUCUCUUGGAGAUUGGCAUUGUCAAGGAAGAACAACUGAAAGUUCAUGGUUUCUAGUAUACCUGUACACUUAUGAAGAACCCUGCAGUAUUGGUCUUACCUAACCUGGCUCUUCUGUGAAAAAUGAAUCUUUGCAGUGAAUGGACUUCCCUGUUACCUGAACAUUUACAAUUUGAUUCAGAUUUGCAUGACUGCAUGAAACAGAUUUCUGAGUUCAGAUAUGAACCCUUAUGGCACUAGCAACAAUUAGGGGAGCAUUAUAUGACAGUUUCUUUCUCCGUCUGGUCUAGACAAUUCCACCUAUAAGAAUCCAGUGUCCAGUCUCUCAGUCCCCACAAAUUGUGCCUGGUGUUACAGAUCUUAAUUGUUCAACAGAAAGGAUGUUCCAGAACAUUGUAACUACUAAGGUAUAAUGUGUUCAGGAGGAAGGAAUGCCUGCUGCAAAACGCAAAAUACCUACACCAAAUGAAAAAAACAAAAAUAAGUCUUAUGCAAGUCUUGCAGAUUAGCAGAAUAAAAUCAUUCUACUGCAAGUUUAUCUAGUCCUGAUUCUUAGGUGCUAAAGUAAUUAAUCUAUUGGGGGUACAUAGCACUUUGUGAUUUUCAGUUUAUCAUAUGCCAGAAAAACUGAUGUUCCCAUUUAAAGCUUGUUCUCCUGCCCAAGAGGAAAAACAAGCAUUAUCUUCUCCUAUUUCCCUGAUAUUACAUGAGUACUUCUAGUGGGCUUUGAAUUGGAGAUUAACAAAUGACUAGCACAUCUCGUGUUACUGAGUCAGUCUUCAUUUCAGAUGGCGUUCCAUUAAUUUCUACUACCUAAGCUUGAGUCAUUUCUCUAUAGUCAUUCUUCUUGGAAUAAAUAAGAAAAACCUUUUGUUCAUCCUCCUCAUUUAAAAAUCUGUUCUUGCAGUUGAUAGGUGGCUUGGGUUUUGUGCUUUAGGGGAGAUGCUUGUGUUUUGACCUUUGAAGGGCAAAAUUGGGAGAAAGUAAGAAGUAACACAUUUGAAGUUUAAAGAGAUGAGAUUUGUUGUGGCAACAAACCAUGUAAUCUUUCUAGAAGAAAAGCAGAAAUUUUUGUCCUUGAGUGUUUUAAACCAGAACAGUGUCUCUCAGAUUGUAGUUAGCCUUGUUACAAGCCCAAACCUCUUUUUAUGUUCUAGAUGAAAGAUUUUUACAAUUUCAUGUUUUGUUAUCUUACUCUGAAACUUCUUUGUCAGAGUUAAACUUAUUUGGAAUACAUAUUCAUGUUUCAAGAAUGCUGAAAAUGAAGGCUUUGGAAAAGAACUGUGUAACGUACUGCCAUGAAAAUUUGUUUUCACAAUGAAGGCAGGUUUCAGUCUUUCAUCUGUGCCAGCAGUAAAGGAUGUGGCCUAUAAUUGUCAAGGCAGUAAAAGGGAGCUUAUAAUAGAGAGCACUUUUGAAAUUCACUAGUAGGACUUGAGACUGGCCAAGCUCAGACUGCAAAGGGUGGUGCUUUCUUUUUGUUGGAAUGUUGUGAAGUUUGUGCCCUUCAGAUCUGCAAAUCAAGAUGGCCUUCCUAGUGAUACUUAGGCUUAACCACAAGCUGUUAUUGGAUGUAGAAACUGUUUUUCAAAUUCACAGCCUUAUGCAUAGUUAUAUUAGGCUGUUGUAGCUGACUCUGAGUUGAUACACUGGAGUAAGGUGUUGCAUAAAUAAAUUCAUUAAACUGACUGUUCUGAAUCUGCAUCUACUUAAUGCAGCUAUGAGCAUGAAACCCUCACUUGCCAAACGGUGGCAGCAGUCUUUAUUAGUAGAAUAUGAGAUUUAGUAAUUUAAAUCUGUAAACUGCCUACUUUGCCUACUUCCUCUUGCUGUGUAAAUUAUCAGGCCCUUGACCAUCACCUGCUAAAUUUGACCAUGUGUCUCAGAGAUGAGCAUGAGGAGCACAGUGAUAGGCAGAUAAUAAUUUUCUGAAGUGGAAGAACCUUUGAAAAGAGGAAUACCUGGGUUGUGUGUAUGUGUUCAGUGGCUUUGCUUAAACCUUGGUUCCUGCACUGCAUUCUUGCACAGUCUAAAUGAAAACCAUUUUGCUUUGGAGAGAGAGGAGGGAACUCCAGUAAAAAAAAAAAAACUGCCUUAGGAAAUAUAUUUAUCUCUGAAGUCUGUUUUUAUUAACUUAAUUCCUGGACUGCAAGACCUCUGUAACAUUGUUUCUGUAUCUUUUAAAAAUCCUAGUUAAAACUUCCUUGAGAGUUUGGCAUUUAAUGUUCUAAAUACAUCUAAAGCCAUAAGAAUUGUUGAAGCUUAAGUUUCAAAUAUUAAUAGUAAUAGUUAGGCAGAAUUCUUAAUUUUGUCCUAUACUGCCACCCUGCUUAUAAUUGGUGUGUAGCUGCCUUGCAGAUGCAUGUGUUAUUUAGAGUGUGUAGUUUUUGUAACAUCUUGUCUAACAUGCUGCAGCCUCUUACAGGCCGUACUACUCUAAUUUUACAGUGUAGGAUAGAUGUUCCUUGAGUUCCAGUCAGCAAUUAUUUUCCUUAAUUGUUCUUGGAAGGCUCUAGUGGUGCAGUAGUUCCUCAUACCAUGUGAAAAUAUAUACAAAGUCAGUAUUUAGCCAGUUAGAGAAUGGGGGAGGCCUUUUUUAUAGAUCACUUUGGGACACAGUAGGGGUUACUGUCCCUUUUAUCUCUUCAGUGUUGAUUAGUGUCACUGAGUGUUCCUCUAACUAGUGUGCUGUUGCUACUAGGGAAAUGCAAGUGGUCUUAGAGGGUCAUGUGUAUUUAAGUGCUAUGACUCUUUGUACAUCCAUACUCCAUUUAGUUAGGAAUGUGUCCUCCACACAUGGCAACAUGAAGGUUGUUUUCCAGUUACCAGAUCAAAAGCUCUUGAGAUGAAUAAGGGGAAAAUGGCAUAGCUGUUUUAUGUUUGCUGUGUAGAUGUUUCAUGCCUACUGUUUUCAGUCUGCAUUAAAAAAACAUAAUCUAAGAGGAUUUGUACUUGGCUUGCCUUUUUAAAGUUUACUACAUGCCUGUCAUUGAUCUCUUAAUGAACAAGUCUUAACCUGUACUGGAGUAUUGCUACAGAGCUGAGACAACAAAAGCUUUUGAAAUAAAGUGUGCAAAUGUUAUUUGAUAUAUGGUUUUCUAAAAGAAAUGGAAUUUUAUGCUGGUGUUAAGAAGGGGUUUUUUUUCUUGAUGGAAGAUAAAAGCAUAAUUUAAUAGUGAUGUGUGUGAUCCUCUUGUUAAGUGGCUUUGAUUUCUUCAAGAAAUGUUAAAUUUCUACUAUAAUCUCUACCGAGCAACUUAAAAAUACUGUGACUUGUCCUGGAAUAUCAUAUCUCUAAAACAAGAUGAUCAUAUUGGCUUGAGGUCUAAAAUUUUGUGUAGAAGAGAAUCAUCUAAUUUCUUGAAUAAGCAAAACACACAGUGUUUUAAGAUGAAACCAGUGUUCAAGUCUGGUCUCAGCUAUUUUAGAAUGUCUUGCAUCUGUGAAAUGUGGCAGCACAUUUCUGAAGUUAAUUUGGGGUCUGAUUAAAAGUACUUGUGUGUACAAUAAA